UACAGAGGUCUCAAGCGUUGUUCGGAUUCAUUGGGCGUAAAGGGUGCGUAGGCGGCGCGGUAAGUCGGGUGUGAAAUCUCGGAGCUUAACUCCGAAACUGCAUUCGAUACUGCCGUGCUUGAGGACUGGAGAGGAGACUGGAAUUUACGGUGUAGCAGUGAAAUGCGUAGAUAUCGUAAGGAAGACCAGUGGCGAAGGCGGGUCUCUGGACAGUUCCUGACGCUGAGACACGAAGGCCAGGGGAGCAAACGGG
RNAcentral lists this ribosomal RNA (253 nucleotides) under uncultured bacterium. RNAcentral's name for it is "partial 16S ribosomal RNA". It matches the Rfam family "Bacterial small subunit ribosomal RNA", at positions 524 to 776 of the family's 1533-position model. The record is from RNAcentral.